GUGUUUAAAAGUGUGUGGGAAGACUUGCUGAAUUUUGGUCCAAAAUGGGAUAAGAACCCACAACCAUUGCUUUGAAUAAUUAAAUGGCUUGUCUAAUGUUGUUUGGGGUUAGAAUAUGUUAGAAUACAUUAAAUUUGAUUAAUUACAAGUGCUAUAGGUGCAUGAAGAGUGUUUCGAAGUGUGGAGAAAGACUUGUUGAAAUUAAGUCCCAAAUGGGCUAAGAACUCGGAAACAUUGCGUUGAACCACUAAAUGACUUAUUUAGUGCUAUUUGGGGUUAGAAUUUGUUAGAAUACAAUCAAGUUGAUUGAUUACAAGUGAUAGAGAUUGAUGAAGAGUGUUUAAAAGUGUGUAGGAAGACUUGCUGAAAUUUGGUCCAAAAUGGGGUAAGAACCCACAACCAUUGCUUUAAAUAAUUAAAUGGCUUGUCUAAUGUUGUUUGGGUUAGAAUAUUUUAGAAUACAAUGAAUUUGAUUAAUUACAAGUGCUAGAGGUGCAUGAAGAGUGUUUCGAAGUGUGGAGAAAGACUUGUUUAAAUUAGGUCCCAAAUGGGCUAAGAACUAGGAAACAUUGCAUUGAACCACUAAAUGACUUAUCUAGAGUUGUUUGGGGUUAGAAUAUGUUAGAAUACAAUGAAUUUGAUUGAUUGCAGGUGCUAGAGAUGCAUGAAGCGUGUUUAAAAGUGUGUAGAGAGACUUGCUGAAAUUUGGUCCAAAAUGGGCUACAAACCCACAACCAUUGCUUUGAAGAAUUAAAUGGCU
Molecule: long non-coding RNA, 760 nt
Filed under: Capsella rubella
Lineage: Eukaryota; Viridiplantae; Streptophyta; Magnoliopsida; Brassicales; Brassicaceae
Description: long non-coding RNA (CRUB_LNC000058)
Source: RNAcentral